AUUCCGUAAGUAGUGGCGAGCGAACGCGGAACAGCCUAAACCGAUGCGCUUGCGUGUCGGGGUUGCGGGACCCGGUUACGGUACAGCAAAGUCUAGUAGAAUGUUCUGGAAAGUUCAAUCAAAGAAGGUGAUAAUCCUGUAAACGAAAGACCAAGCUGACCUACGGGUAUCCCAAGUAGGGCGUCACACGUGAAACGACGUCUGAAUCCGGGGGGCCCACCCUCCAAGGCUAAAUACUAAUCAGAAACC
Molecule: ribosomal RNA, 249 nt
Filed under: Ctenophora environmental sample
Lineage: Eukaryota; Metazoa; Ctenophora
Description: partial Bacterial large subunit ribosomal RNA
Rfam family: Bacterial large subunit ribosomal RNA
Source: RNAcentral